Molecule: ribosomal RNA, 465 nt
Filed under: uncultured bacterium
Lineage: Bacteria
Description: partial 16S ribosomal RNA
Rfam family: Bacterial small subunit ribosomal RNA
Source: RNAcentral
GACGAACGCUGGCGGCGUGCUUAACACAUGCAAGUCGAACGGAAAGGCCCCUUUGGGGGUCCUCGAGUGGCGAACGGGUGAGUAACACGUGAGUAACCUGCCCUUGACUUCGGGAUAACUUCAGGAAACUGGGGCUAAUACCGGAUAGGAAUCCUUGCUGCAUGGUGGGGGUUGGAAAGCUUCGGCGGUUUUGGAUGGACUCGCGGCUUAUCAGCUUGUUGGUGGGGUAGUGGCUUACCAAGGCUUUGACGGGUAGCCGGCCUGAGAGGGCGACCGGCCACAUUGGGACUGAGAGACGGCCCAGACUCCUACGGGAGGCAGCAGUGGGGAAUAUUGCACAAGGGGCGGAAGCCUGAUGCAGCAACGCCGCGUGCGGGAUGACGGCCUUCGGGUUGUAAACCGCUUUCAGCAGGGGCGAAGCUUGUGGUGACGGUACCUGCAGAAGAAGCACCGGCUAACUACGUG